UAGUGGUACAGCAUUAGGCUUUUAACCUAUUGGUUCCAGGUUCAGACCCUG
RNAcentral lists this transfer RNA (51 nucleotides) under uncultured Pyramimonadales. RNAcentral describes it as "partial tRNA". Lineage: Eukaryota; Viridiplantae; Chlorophyta; Pyramimonadophyceae; Pyramimonadales. The record is from RNAcentral.